CCCGAACCACCACUUGUUCUUCAUGGCCCAUGACAGAAACUUUCUUCACAAAUGUUGGUGUGAAUCAUUUGGAAGCUUUUUCUCUCAUGUCCUGGGAAGAUUCAAAUAUCUGGAGGCUGCAACAGCUGGGAUACCUAAAGAAUCUCUCCAUGUGGUCUCUCCAGCAUGGUGUCUUCAGGGUAGCUUAUUUUUUUAUAUGGAAGCUCCAAUCUGCCACUGUAUGUGUCCUGAGAAAGAGCCACAAAGAAGCCAUAUAACCUUCUAUGACCCAACACCUUAUAAUUCAGCAGUGCUGCUUCCAUUGCAUCCUAUUAUUCAGAAGAACUGAGUUGUUCAAUGCCAUAUUCAAGAGAGAAAAACUAAACUCUGCUUUCUGAUGGCUAUUGCUCUAGUGUGAAUGUUAUUGCCACUCCAAAAUUGAUGUGUUGGACACCUAAUCCUCAGUGCAACAGUGUUGGCAGGCGGUGCCUGAUGCAAGGUAUUUAGGCAAUGAGGGCUCUGCCCUCAAGGGUUGACUAAUUCCAUUAUGAAAACGGCCUGUGGAGGUGGGUUUCCUCUCUUCUGCUCUUCUGCCAUGUGAGAACGUAGCAUUUCUUUUCUCUGGAGGAUGCAACAAUCAAGGCACCAUCUUGGAAGUAGGAUACAGCCCUCACCAAAUAACUGAACCUGCUGAUGCCUUGAUCUUGGACAUCCCAGCCUCCAGAACUAUGAGACAUAAAUUUCUAUUUUUUAAAAAUAAAUUACCUAGUCUCAGGCAUUCUGUUGUAACAGCACAAAGAGGACUAACACAACUGGAAUGUCAGAGAAUUAUGGACAUAUUUUAAAAUCUCCUCAAAGACUCAUUUCAUCAUGGGAAAUUCAUUUCUUUAAUGAGAUUUUACAGAGUCUUAUAUCCAAAAUAGAAUAAUUGCUGGUAGUAUAAAGAGCUUCAUUCGUGAUCAGUUCCUUAUAUAACUAGAAAUUGGCACACAAAUCCAUAAAAAAUUAAGCACUGGGAACAUUAGGAGUAGAAAAAAAUAAAUAUCUGCAAAGAGGGACAGGAAAGACUUGCCAGAGCAUAACAAAAGAAAUAGGUGUCCGAUGAAGAAAGAGCUGCCAAAAGGCAAAAUAAAUGGCAGGUCAGCGUGGCAUUCCUGAGCUGCAGCUUCUGUUGUGCCACCAGCCUUCAGUGUGACUUUGGUUGACAGGCCACUUCCCCUCUGGGACCUCUGUGUCCUCAUUUGGAAAGUACAAUAUUGAACUAGAUAAUUUCAAAGGCACCUUAUGGCUCUGAUAUUCUGCAAUCCCAUUAUUAUUACUUUAAAUGCUGAAGCAUUUCCUUAAUAGGGAAGAAAUUAAAUGUCUUAACCCUUGGCUAUUAAUAUCAUCUGUUCCUACAUUUAAUGGGUUGAGAUGAGUCACAGAGGAUGAAAGACACUAUAGCUAAGGAUGUCAGCAGAGGUGACAGCCACUUCUACCUCAGGUGACCAUGGGAAGCAACAGCUGGCAUAUUUUAUACAAUUCAGAUGAGACAGGGAAGAACAAAUGACACCUUUGGGCCUUCAUUGGAAAAAAGUAGUCUAAAAGCAUCAACUGCUAUCCUUUGAUGCUCAGAUACUGCCUCCUAGUUAAUGAAGGCAAAAGUAUAAUUUAAGAGCAGUGGUUAAUGCUUUGACAAAGAAAAGGCGGCCCUGAAGACUUGAUAACCUUUCGUUCUUGUCCCUGAAGAAUUUUUGGAUAUGUUAUGUGCAAAAAACAUUUUUGCAUUUGAUUUAAAAACUAUGCAUUGUCUAUCAUACAUGCUUCUGGGCAGUGGGUUCCAGAGCCUGUUCAUUGUCUUUGAGCUAUUUUGCACCUGUUUUUCAAAUGCAGGUAACUGAUGGAUAUGCAAACUGUGUCUUAUCCAGCAGCAUUUCCAUUGGCUUCCCUCCCCACUGUGGAAAAAGUCUUUUUCCCUCCAUUUGUAAUUCGAUUUCUUGACUCUAUAUGUUUGUGCUUUUUGACAUUUACUUUGAACUAGUUCCUUUAUAUGAGUUAAAUAAAAUCUUUAACAUAUGUUUCA
This 2041-nucleotide long non-coding RNA is filed under the name Homo sapiens (human). RNAcentral describes it as "HSALNT0034635". Lineage: Eukaryota; Metazoa; Chordata; Mammalia; Primates; Hominidae. The record is from RNAcentral.